RNAcentral lists this ribosomal RNA (460 nucleotides) under uncultured bacterium. RNAcentral describes it as "partial 16S ribosomal RNA". It matches the Rfam family "Bacterial small subunit ribosomal RNA", at positions 338 to 795 of the family's 1533-position model. The record is from RNAcentral.
CCUACGGGAGGCAGCAGUGAGGAAUAUUGGUCAAUGGCCGUAAGGCUGAACCAGCCAAGUCGCGUGAAGGAAGAAGGAUCUAUGGUUUGUAAACUUCUUUUAUAGGGGAAUAAAGGUAUCCACGUGUGGAUAUUUGCAUGUACCCUAUGAAUAAGCAUCGGCUAACUCCGUGCCAGCAGCCGCGGUAAUACGGAGGAUGCGAGCGUUAUCCGGAUUUAUUGGGUUUAAAGGGUGCGUAGGUUGUUUUUUAAGUCAGCGGUGAAAGUUUGUGGCUCAACCAUAAAAUUGCCGUUGAAACUGGAAGACUUGAGUGUGUUUGAGGUAGGCGGAAUGCGUGGUGUAGCGGUGAAAUGCAUAGAUAUCACGCAGAACUCCGAUUGCGAAGGCAGCUUACUAAGCCAUAACUGACACUGAAGCACGAAAGCGUGGGGAUCAAACAGGAUUAGAUACCCCAGUAGUC